RNAcentral lists this long non-coding RNA (4750 nucleotides) under Brassica napus (rape). RNAcentral describes it as "long non-coding RNA (BNAP_LNC018227)". The record is from RNAcentral. Lineage: Eukaryota; Viridiplantae; Streptophyta; Magnoliopsida; Brassicales; Brassicaceae.
AGGGGUUAUCCAUCUUACAUUCCGCUUCUAUUGCUUCAUGACAUGAACCAGCAGCCAAGUCUUGAACUUCUGCUAGUACUGGAGGUGGUGAAGGUUGCCUGAUGAUAUGGUUGUCAAUAACACUUUCGGAUUCUUCGAAAGAAAUCAUGGAUGAAAGCUCUUCGGUGUAAUUUUUCUGGAUAUUUUCACUUGGUGUAGAAGUUGAUUCCACAACUGGCCUCUCAGGUUCGUUUUUAUUGCCGUUUGUUAUCAUUGGUUUGCUAUCCACGAAUUGUCGUUGGAAGCUGUUUCCCAUAGACAGCAUCAGUAGAGAAAGUGAACACAUAAGCGUGAGAUUAUCAAGUAACAAGAGCGAAAAAUGUAAGCAUAUUAAACAAAAUCUCAUGAUCUGCAGAAUGAAAAUGUACAAUUUGCUUUAAAACCAGCUAGAUGGUCAAACCUUGGGAUUUCAACUGGUGCAAAAUCUAUAUUGCUCGGAUACUGAACCUGAUAAUAGAACAAAAAGGACAUCAGCUUAGUGUGAAGAAGUGCAUUAAAAAGUAGCAUGAUAUAUAAUACCUUAAUGUCAAUCUUGGGAGGCUGCCACUGUGCACGGAGUCCACCUGGACCCAAGAUAGAAUGCUUGGAAAGGGAUUCCUCUGUUGGUCGCAUCAAGUUAACUGACCUAGAAAAUCGUGCAUCAAAUAAAAAAAAACUAUGAGACAGUAUCAGGAAACCAGUGUAAGAAAUAUAGCUUAGAUUGAGGACAGCUUCAAGGAGAAAAAUUGAAGACAUACAUCUUUCGGAAACGCUCUUCAAGUGGUGCAGCGUUCAAGAGUUGCUGACCCCUGGAACCCAUGUAGCCAAAAUUAUGUCCAGAAGGAUUUAGUACCUAUGCAGAACAAGAGCAACAGAAAAAGGAGCAGGAAAUGUUUAUCUACUGAAGCUUAAAAUUUCGCAUCAUAACGUCUUCUUUUACUAAUUGAAACCAAAAGUUUCGAAACAAACAAGAGUGGAAAAUAAUGCAUAAUUAAUAGAAAUACGUAUAGGCAUGGCAUAUGCGACAAACACGAUUAGAGCAUAUAAAGCACACCUUCGCAUGAUCAUAGCUACUUAUCGAUGGUUUUACAGCGGAAGACCAACGUGGAGUACCAUUUGCGGGAUGAGCUUGCACACUAUAUCGAGGUAAAGGCUUAGGAUUAAGUUCAUCGAUCCUUUGCUGUACAACUGGUUUCAACUUCUCCAGCUCGGUCAAUACAUCCAAUAGUCUCUAGAAUAGACAAAAAAAGCUCACAUUUAACUACCGAUAAACAGACAAAACAUAAACAUUGACAAGGGAGGAUCAUUAAGGAUAUAUAUAAACACACAAAACAUAAAAGAAAGCAAAGUUUGACAUUGUUCUUUUGUUUCCAAAUAUGAUCUGCACGGAGUCAAAUCACCAGCGUAUUUCCUUCUCCAGUGAUCUUGGCCAAUCAGAUAACGCAUCAGAACCACCAGCCCUUAUCCGAAGAGACGAAUCUCUUCUUGAUUCAUCAAACUCUUCUUUCGAGUUCCACAUCUCAAACAACUUUGAUCCUGGAGACUCCUCACCAGCCGAUGAGAUCUUCGCUGACGGCAUGAUCCUCCCUUUCCAUGUAACCCCACCUUCCACCGCACCAAAACGUCUCUACAAAUACGAACUCCCUCCCAUUACCUCCUCUCUUUCUCCAUCUCCUCUCCCUCCACAACCAUUACCGACAAAACACGGCGAGAAGGACACCAGCGGUGCAAACUCGGACUCAGAAGCAGAGAAGUCGUCAAAGUCGUUUUGGAGUUUCAAGAGAAGCUCGAGUCUCAACUGCGACUUAAAGAAGAGUCUGAUCUGUUCGUUUCCUCGUCUCACGAGAAGCAACUCUACAGGUUCGGUUACUAAUUCAAAGAGAGCAAUGCUGAGAGAUGUUAACAACCAUAGGGUCUCUCCCACUUCUUCUUCUUCUUCUUCCUCUGUCUGUUGCAACUAUCACUUCAGGCCUCAGAAGCACGCAGGAAAGAAAGGUGAAGCAGGAGGAGGAAGCUUUUCGGUUAUUCCAGUCCUCAGUGGUCCGUCUACGUUUGGGUUAGGAUCGUUUCUACGUCACUCAAAGAAGAAGAAGAACAAGAAGUAGUAGAUGGUUACAUGAACAGAGAGUCUCGAUAAAUUGUUUUUAUUUCCUCGUUUGAUUGUUGUCUACAUAUUGUUGGGUGUUUUUUCGUGUUACUACUAAACGUUUUAGGUUGCUGUAUUAUUUGAACUGGACACAACCUUAAUGACACAUUUAGCAAUCAGACUGAAGUGGUCAUAUCUAACAGAAGCUACUUGUAACACAAUGAAUUUUAUUGCGAAUAAUACCAAGUUUUUUUGUUGAUACAAAAGGACUCUUUUCUUUGAAUUGUCAAUGAAGAGACAAGUAAGAUGUGGGUAGCACCAAUGUCCUACAAAAUCUCUAUAUACACACCAGAGAUGGUACGUGAACAUAUAAAAAUUUAAGAUGAUUUAAUAUAUAGAGUUGUAUUAACUGAAUAAGAUGUGUUAAAAGACUAGCUUUAAAGCCAAGAAUAACUUGACCCGUUUACUAAAUAAAGUCUUUUAAGUUAUUUAACUGAUUAACAUAACUUUUUUUUUGUGUUUGAGAAGUUGGACAUGACAUGUUCCCCAUUUGAAUCAGAAGACGACAAAAAUCACAAAUAACCAUCUGCUCAAAGCCAAGUCUAACUUGACCCGUUUACUUAAUUAAGACUUUUAAGUUAUUUAAGUGAUUAACAUAACAUUUUGUGAUUGAGAAAUUGGACAUGACAUGUUCGCCAUUUGUAUCAGAAGAGGCGACAAAAAUCACAAAAUAUUUGUGAUUUGUAUUACAUUUUUCCCAUCAAUAUACAUACGUGCUUUUUGGAUACAUAUUGUGAGCUUGUUUAAUAAGAUACAACAAUUACUUCAAAUUUUUCUCGUUUUUUUAAUUAUUUUUCACAAAAUUACAUGUAGAUUGUACAUAAGCUUACGUAGAUCAUAUUAAAAUGGUAAAGGAAGAUACCGUAGUCUCACAAGUCCAGUGAUGCUAUCUGAGAUCGAUGACAUCGAACUUUAGAUUUGGGUUCAUGUAAACAUCCGUACAUGUAUUGUAAAUCGGUCCUCCGUCUGCCGGCGAACUGUGUGCGUGAAAGCCACGCUGGUCACAGUUUCUUAUCACCGUCAUCCCUCCCGGAGUUGUCAGCCGGAAUAUUCCAUGUUUCCUAAGAAGACAGAACCAGUUUAUGGUUUCUCGAAUCAUUUCAUGUUGAAAUAUAAAGAUAAGGUUUUGGUCUUUAAUACCUUGAAGAGUCUUGCGGGGCCAUGACGAUUGCCACAGCUUCCGGUAACAUAAUCUGAGAAACAUUGUAUAAGAGCAUAAAGAGAUGAACCCAUUGUUGACAUCGUGUUAUGCAAAUUAUUUCGAACGAUUAUUUCCGUACCUGGUAUGAAUAGUGCGUGUGUACAUCGAUAGAUGACAUGAAACAAGACUGUGUCGGAUGCGUCUGAAGAAUUAGAGACAGUGAUCAACAAGUCAGUAGAGAAAUAUAAGACACCACUUCGCCAAUGAAAACGAUCUUCAAGCAUAAAGCAGUUAAAAAUGGAGAUAGAAAAACAUGUAUAUGCUACUCACAUGAAUCCAUCCAAGUGGGAAAAGAGAUUGCUUGUCCUGUACUUCAAAUAUCUCCUCCUCGUUUGUGGCCUGACACUGUAAAGAGAACGAGAUAUGACAGUGUUUAAGAUUGGCAUAGCUAAUGAAUGAAUUAACUAAGUUGACAUUCCAAAACAAGACUUACCGAGUCAGAUGUUGAUUCCUGUUUUGGUAUGAUGAGAGCUGUAAUAUAGAACUUUCUGUUUUUCUGCAACCAUGUGAUUCACAAAUCAUUAUGAGCUGAUCCAUUUCAAUAUUGCUUUUUUCAGAUUUGAGAAACAGAAGGCCAUUGGCAUAUAACAACUCACUAGUGAACCAGCAAGAAUACCACACGUCUCUAGAUUCUUCUUGGUGUUUGACUUGGCAAGCCUCAAAAAUGUAUCCAUCAUUGUUGUCGCCUAAAAAUAAGGUUAUUAUCAAAAAUAUACGAAGGCAACUGGAUAUAUGAGCAUAAAACCAGAGGCUGCUAACAAACUUUUUCUCAGUCUAUUUUAUCUUUCUGUAGAUAAUGAAACAAUGCUUACGUGAGAAACGAAAAAAAAAAUGAUAUGUAUGUAUUGUCGAAGUCAUAUAGGACAAACGAACAAGAUAAAUCAUUCACGACAAAUCACCAAUGGAUGCAUUCUAAAUUCACUUUUCUCCCUAAUAUUUGAAUGAGUUUUGACGUCAGAAUAACAACAAAGAGGGGAGAGAGCUAUAGCAAACUUACAAUAUGGAGUUCAAGAGGAGACUCUGACCGUAGAGACUCAUCAGGUAAGGGGUUAUCCAUCUUACAUUCCGCUUCUAUUGCUUCAUGACAUGAACCAGCAGCCAAGUCUUGAACUUCUGCUAGUACUGGAGGUGGUGAAGGUUGCCUGAUGAUAUGGUUGUCAAUAACACUUUCGGAUUCUUCGAAAGAAAUCAUGGAUGAAAGCUCUUCGGUGUAAUUUUUCUGGAUAUUUUCACUUGGUGUAGAAGUUGAUUCCACAACUGGCCUCUCAGGUUCGUUUUUAUUGCCGUUUGUUAUCAUUGGUUUGCUAUCCACGAAUUGUCGUUGGAAGCUGUUUCCCAUAGACAGCAUCAGUAGAGAAAGUGAACACAUAAGCGUGAGAUUAUCA